CCCUAGUAACGGCGAGUGAAGCGGCAGCAGCCCAGAUUUGGAAUCUGGUCCUUUUGGGGCCCGAGUUGUAAUCUGCAGAGGAAGCGUCUGGUGCGGUGCCGGCCUAGUUCCCUGGAACGGGACGCCGUAGAGGGUGACAGCCCCGUACGGUCGGCCACCAAACCUGUGUGUCGCUCCUUCGAAGAGUCGCGUAGUUUGGGAAUGCUGCGCAAAGUGGGAGGUAUGCUCCUCCUAAGGCUAAAUACCGGCCAGAGACCGAUAGCGCACAAGUAGAGUGAUCGAAAGAUGAAAAGCACCUUGAAAAUGGGGUUAAAAAGUACGUGAAAUUGCCAAAGGGGAAGCGCUCGUGGCCAGACUCGUGCCCUAUGGAUCAUCCGGCUAUUUCGCCGGUGCACUCUAUUGGGCUCGGGCCAGCGUCGGUCGGCGCCGGUACUAAAAGACAGCGUGAACGUGGCUCUCUUCGGGGAGUGUUAUAGCGCGCUGUGUAAUGUGCUGGCGCCGUCCGAGGACCGCGCAUUUAUGCAAGGACGCUGGCGUAAUGGCCACUAGCGGCCCGUCUUGAANNNCGGACCAAGGAGUCGCCCAGAGACGCGAGUGUGCGGGUGACAAACCCCUGCGCGAAGUGAAAGCGAAC
Molecule: ribosomal RNA, 634 nt
Filed under: Melanospora zamiae
Lineage: Eukaryota; Fungi; Ascomycota; Sordariomycetes; Coronophorales; Ceratostomataceae
Description: LSU rRNA
Rfam family: Eukaryotic large subunit ribosomal RNA
Source: RNAcentral